GAUCCUGGCUCAGGAUGAACGCUAGCGACAGGCCUAACACAUGCAAGUCGAGGGGCAGCGGAGAGGUAGCAAUACCUUUGCCGGCGACCGGCGCACGGGUGAGUAACACGUAUGCAAUCCACCUGUAACAGGGGGAUAACCCGGAGAAAUCCGGACUAAUACCCCAUAAUAUGGGCCCUCCGCAUGGAGGGUCCAUUAAAGAGAGCAAUUUUGGUUACAGACGAGCAUGCGCCCCAUUAGCCAGUUGG
RNAcentral lists this ribosomal RNA (248 nucleotides) under uncultured bacterium. Its description in RNAcentral is "partial 16S ribosomal RNA". It matches the Rfam family "Bacterial small subunit ribosomal RNA", at positions 15 to 252 of the family's 1533-position model. The record is from RNAcentral.